RNAcentral lists this ribosomal RNA (800 nucleotides) under uncultured bacterium. RNAcentral's name for it is "bacterial SSU rRNA". It matches the Rfam family "Bacterial small subunit ribosomal RNA", at positions 170 to 965 of the family's 1533-position model. The record is from RNAcentral.
CGCAUACGCCCUACGGGGGAAAGCGGGGGAUCUUCGGACCUCGCGCUAUUGGAUGAGCCCAAGCCCGAUUAGCUUGUUGGUAGGGUAACGGCCUACCAAGGUUACGAUCGGUAGCUGGUCUGAGAGGACGACCAGCCACACUAGGACUGAGACACGGCCCAGACUCCUACGGGAGGCAGCAGUGGGGAAUAUUGCACAAUGGGCGCAAGCCUGAUGCAGCAAUGCCGCGUGUGUGAAGAAGGCCUGCGGGUUGUAAAGCACUUUCAGUAGAGAGGAAAAGCUCAAGGUUAAUACCCUUGAGUCCUGACGUUAACUACAGAAGAAGCACCGGCUAACUCCGUGCCAGCAGCCGCGGUAAUACGGAGGGUGCGAGCGUUAAUCGGAAUUACUGGGCGUAAAGCGCGCGUAGGCGGUCAGAUCAGUCGGAUGUGAAAGCCCCGGGCUCAACCUGGGAAUUGCAUUCGAUACUGUCUGGCUAGAGUAUGGUAGAGGGAAGCGGAAUUCCGGGUGUAGCGGUGAAAUGCGUAGAUAUCCGGAGGAACAUCAGUGGCGAAGGCGGCUUCCUGGACCAAUACUGACGCUGAGGUGCGAAAGCGUGGGGAGCAAACAGGAUUAGAUACCCUGGUAGUCCACGCCCUAAACGAUGUCAACUAGCCGUUGGGUUCAUUAAAGGGCUUAGUGGCGCAGCUAACGCGUUAAGUUGACCGCCUGGGGAGUACGGCCGCAAGGCUAAAACUCAAAGGAAUUGACGGGGCCCGCACAAGCGGUGGAGCAUGUGGUUUAAUUCGAUGCAACGCGAA